This 432-nucleotide ribosomal RNA is filed under the name uncultured bacterium. RNAcentral describes it as "partial 16S ribosomal RNA". It matches the Rfam family "Bacterial small subunit ribosomal RNA", at positions 29 to 506 of the family's 1533-position model. The record is from RNAcentral.
AACGAACGCUGGCGGCAUGCCUAACACAUGCAAGUCGAACGAGACCUUCGGGUCUAGUGGCGCACGGGUGCGUAACGCGUGGGAACCUGCCCUUAGGUUCGGAAUAACUCCCCGAAAGGGGUGCUAAUACCGGAUAAUGUCUUCGGACCAAAGAUUUAUCGCCUUUGGAUGGGCCCGCGUUGGAUUAGCUAGUUGGUAGGGUAAAAGCCUACCAAGGCGACGAUCCAUAGCUGGUCUGAGAGGAUGAUCAGCCACACUGGGACUGAGACACGGCCCAGACUCCUCCGGGGGGCAGGGGGGGGGAAUAUUGGAAAAGGGGCGAAAGCCUGAUCCAGCAAGGCCGGGUGAGUGAUGAAGGCCUUAGGGUUGUAAAGCUCUUUUACCCGGGAUGAUAAGGACAGGACCGGGAGAAUAAGCCCCGGCUAACUCCGU